UACGGAAGGGGCUAGCGUUGUCCGAAGUUACUGGGCGUAAAGCGCGCGUAGGCGGGUUGGUAAGUCCGCUGUGAAAGCCCGGAGCUUAACUCCGGAGGGUCGGUGGAUACUGCCAGUCUUGAAGGUGCUAGGGGGAGAUGGAAUUACCGGUGUAGCGGUGAAAUGCGUAGAUAUCGGUAGGAACACCAGUGGCGAAGGCGGUCUCCUGGGGCAUUCUUGACGCUGAGGAGCGAAAGCAUGGGGAGCGAACAGG
This 253-nucleotide ribosomal RNA is filed under the name uncultured bacterium. RNAcentral's name for it is "partial 16S ribosomal RNA". It matches the Rfam family "Bacterial small subunit ribosomal RNA", at positions 524 to 776 of the family's 1533-position model. The record is from RNAcentral.